RNAcentral lists this ribosomal RNA (433 nucleotides) under uncultured bacterium. RNAcentral's name for it is "partial 16S ribosomal RNA". It matches the Rfam family "Bacterial small subunit ribosomal RNA", at positions 29 to 507 of the family's 1533-position model. The record is from RNAcentral.
AACGAACGCUGGCGGCAUGCCUAACACAUGCAAGUCGAACGAGACCUUCGGGUCUAGUGGCGCACGGGUGCGUAACGCGUGGGAACCUGCCCUUAGGUUCGGAAUAACUCCCCGAAAGGGGUGCUAAUACCGGAUAAUGUCUUCGGACCAAAGAUUUAUCGCCUUUGGAUGGGCCCGCGUUGGAUUAGCUAGUUGGUAGGGUAAAAGCCUACCAAGGCGACGAUCCAUAGCUGGUCUGAGAGGAUGAUCAGCCACACUGGGACUGAGACACGGCCCAGACUCCUACGGGAGGCAGUAGUGGGGAAUAUUGGACAAUGGGCGAAAGCCUGAGACAGCAAGGCCGCGUGAGGGAUGAAGGCCUUAGGGUUGUAAAGCUCUUGUACCCGGGAUGAUAAUGACAGUACCGGGAGAAUAAGCUCCGGCUAACUCCGUG